RNAcentral lists this transfer RNA (73 nucleotides) under Canis lupus familiaris (dog). It matches the Rfam family "tRNA". Rfam says of the family: Transfer RNA (tRNA) molecules are approximately 80 nucleotides in length. Their secondary structure includes four short double-helical elements and three loops (D, anti-codon, and T loops). Lineage: Eukaryota; Metazoa; Chordata; Mammalia; Carnivora; Canidae. The record is from Rfam by way of RNAcentral. RNAcentral also lists the same sequence under 1 other name.
GCCUGGCUAGUUUAAUCGGUAGGGCAUGUGACUCUUAAUCUCAGGGUUGUGAGUUUGAGGCCCAUGUUGGGUA